GCGGACGUGGCGAAAUUGGUAGACGCACAAGCUUGAGGGGCUAGCAACCGCAAGGUUAUGGGAGUUCGACUCUCCCCGUCCGCA
RNAcentral lists this transfer RNA (84 nucleotides) under Candidatus Doudnaibacteriota bacterium. RNAcentral's name for it is "Candidatus Doudnabacteria bacterium tRNA-Leu". It matches the Rfam family "tRNA". From Rfam's summary of the family: Transfer RNA (tRNA) molecules are approximately 80 nucleotides in length. Their secondary structure includes four short double-helical elements and three loops (D, anti-codon, and T loops). Lineage: Bacteria; Candidatus Doudnaibacteriota. The record is from RNAcentral.